GAGAGAGACAUGCGCGCAUAUCAAUAAGCGGAGGAAAAGAAACUAACAAGGAUUCCCCUAGUAACGGCGAGUGAAGCGGGAAGAGCUCAAAUUUGAAAUCUUAAAGGGUUUCCCUUUACGAAUUGUAGUUUAAAGAAGUGUUUUCUGUUGAGGUUUUGGUAAAAGUUCUUUGGAAUAGGACAUCAUAGAGGGUGAGAAUCCCGUAUUUGACCUUUACUUUCAACUUUGUGAUACACUUUCAAAGAGUCGGAUUGUUUGGGAAUGCAGUCCAGAAUGGGUGGUAAAUUUCAUCUAAAGCUAAAUAUAGGCGAGAGACCGAUAGCGAACAAGUACCGUGAGGGAAAGAUGAAAAGAACUUUGAAAAGAGAGUUAAACAGUACGUGAAAUUGUCAAAAGGGAAGCGUUUGACACCAGUGUUGUUUUUCUGAAAAUCAAUUAAAGAACUGUUUAUGCUAAGCUGUUUAGACUUUAUCAGCUAACUGUUUAGUUUUGAGCUUUUCUUUAAUGCACUUUUCAGUUAACAAGUCAACAUCAAUUUCUUUUGCUGUAAAAAAGCUUGAGGAAGGUGGCUUGAGAUUCGUCUUAAGUGUUUAUAGCCUCUUGCCUAUGCAGUCGGAGAGAUUGAGGUCUGCAGCGUAGAUCCUUCGGGGCUAAAUGCAUUUGUGCUAAGUUAUAGCAUUUUAUAGACAACUUGUUGACUAUGAUUUGUCUUGUAGCUUACUCGCUUAUGUUAUUUUACCUACGCUUAGGAUGUUGAGCGCAUGUCUCUCUCU
Molecule: ribosomal RNA, 773 nt
Filed under: uncultured Neocallimastigales
Lineage: Eukaryota; Fungi; Neocallimastigomycota; Neocallimastigomycetes; Neocallimastigales
Description: partial large subunit ribosomal RNA
Rfam family: Eukaryotic large subunit ribosomal RNA
Source: RNAcentral